Molecule: non-coding RNA, 58 nt
Organism: Microvirga lotononidis
Lineage: Bacteria; Pseudomonadati; Pseudomonadota; Alphaproteobacteria; Hyphomicrobiales; Methylobacteriaceae
Source: Rfam
CUAGGGGUCCGGGACCCUCUGGCGGGCGGGUCGCCGCUCGCGAUGUCGGACACCUCAU